GGCUGGACACGAGCGAAAAGGUUCCCACUUGCCCAAUGGUUUAAAUUAGAGACUCGUCUAAAAAAGAUCACAGAGGUCGCCGGCCGUUUAAACAUCCGGUCGUUAUUAGGCUCAAUUUAGAAAGUGAAAGAAAAGUUUUGUCGACUUUUUAAAACUCUUCCUGAAAGAAGGAGUUGGUCAAUAAAUAGAAACACCAUCCUGUUACCCUGACGUCUUAAAGAAACAGUCGGUCAUUUCGCUAUUACCCAGCGUGAGUCUCGGGUGCUAUUUAAAGGCGGAUUGCAAAACGGCAACACGCGGAGUUCUCUCCUUCAAACAUUUUAAAAUAUAUAUUGAAGUAUUAAGAGCCCGAGCUUUCGGCGAUGCUAUUGACAUUUUCUUAUUUGGAUAAAGCAAAGGCAACUGAAAAAUCACCUUCUCUAAGCUCACUAUUACCUGAAACUUAAGACCGUUCACACAGAAUAAAAACACAAAAACGGUUUGCCCCUUUUCCGGCUGAUGUGACUACCUCAGCAUGAAAGUGAAGGGACAUUCCACUCCCCUUUAAGAUUUGCAGAAUCCAGCUCUCCCCAAGACUGUCAUCAUUGUCGAAAUCUGCUUUUCAAACAGUUGUGUUUUAAUAGAUAAAAGGCGAGACGGAAUUAAAAUCCACAGAAGGCGAUCAGAGACUGGUAUUACCCCCCCUCCACCAAGCUGCUUGGAGCUCCCUGUUUCUUAAUCUGCAUCAGCCAUUGCUAAUUUACAGGAAUGAUGACCAGCACAUGCGGGUAGUUUGGACACGGCUCGUUUCUCCCAAACGUCGCUAAGUGGCCCAUUUCUGCACUCGGUAAGCACUAGAAACUGUAGCACUUCCCUCGCUCAUUAUUCCCAGUCAUGUUGUGCAAAUAUUGGAGUAAUCCCCCUUAUCCCUUUCCUGACUAUUUCUUCACUUCAGUGUGCUGAAUGAUGCACUUGACUAAAUCCACCCAGCUUGUGUGUUUUGCAACAAGCCUGACUGAUGGGCUUUUACCAAUUUCUCCUUAGUCACGAAAUACACGGAUGGAGAGCGGCAGUCGCUAAAUAAAUCCCGUCCCAGACCCUCCAACAUCAUCACUCUGUGCAUGGCUGCACGUGCUUGGAAACCAUAUCACAAAAAUACCAUUAGCUCGAAACGCCUGGUGCCAAAUGAAUUAAAGAUACACGGAUGUCUUAUAUUAAAGCAGGUGCACCAAUACAGGACUCACUCUACACUAAACCAACACCCAAACCCUCCAACACGGUUAAAGAAAUGUUCCUUUUUUUAAGUAAAGUGAUUUAAGUUCUAUUCAAGAUACACGACUUUUUUCCUCCUUCUACUAGAUCUGCUUGCACUCCAGUAUUUAAAUACAUCUUAUUGAACUGAGGUACGCUGUUGUUCAUAGCA
Long non-coding RNA from Chiloscyllium plagiosum (whitespotted bambooshark), 1402 nucleotides. RefSeq lists it as uncharacterized. NCBI's taxonomy places the organism in Eukaryota, Metazoa, Chordata, Chondrichthyes, Orectolobiformes, Hemiscylliidae. The record is from RefSeq and is a predicted model, not a curated record.